RNAcentral lists this ribosomal RNA (497 nucleotides) under uncultured bacterium. RNAcentral describes it as "partial 16S ribosomal RNA". It matches the Rfam family "Bacterial small subunit ribosomal RNA", at positions 28 to 507 of the family's 1533-position model. The record is from RNAcentral.
GAUGAACGCUGGCGGCGUGCCUAAUACAUGCAAGUCGAGCGAACAGACGAGGAGCUUGCUCCUCUGACGUUAGCGGCGGACGGGUGAGUAACACGUGGAUAACCUACCUAUAAGACUGGGAUAACUUCGGGAAACCUGAUCUAAUACCGGAUAAUAUAUUGAACCGCAUGGUUCACUAGUGAAAGACGGUUUUGCUGUCACUUAUAGAUGUAUCCGCGCCGCAUUAGCUAGUUGGUAAGGUAACGGCUUACCAAGGCAACGAUGCGUAGCCGACCUGAGAGGGUGAUCGGCCACACUGGAACUGAGACACGGUCCAGACUCCUACGGGAGGCAGCAGUAGGGAAUCUUCCGCAAUGGGCGAAAGCUUGACGGAGCAACGCCGCGUGAGUGAUGAAGGUCUUCGGAUCGUAAAACGCUGUUAUUAGGGAAGAACAAAUGUGUAAGUAAAUAUGCACGUAUUGACGGUACCUAAUCAGAAAGCCACGGCUAACUACGUG